CCUACGGGAGGCAGCAGUGGGGAAUAUUGGGCAAUGGAGGCAACUCUGACCCAGCAACGCCGCGUGAAUGAUGAAGGUCUUCGGGUUGUAAAGUUCUUUUAAGAGGGAAGAAGAAAGUGCGGGACCCUUUGAAUAAGGCCUCGGCUACCUACGUGCCAGCAGCCGCGGUAAUACGUAGGAGCCAAGCGUUAUCCGGUUUGACGGGGCGUAAGGGGGGCGCAGGUGGUAAGACAAGUCAGUAGGGAAACCCCGAGGCUCAACCGUGGAACUCCUAUUAAAACUGUUUUACUUGAGCGCAGGAGAGGCAACCGGAAUUCCUAGUGUAGCGGUGAAAUGCGUAGAUAUAAGGAAGAACACCAGUGGCGAAGGCGGGUGGCUGGACGGUAACUGACGGUGAGGCGCGAAAGCGUGGGGAGCAAACAGGAUUAGAUACCCGGGUAGUC
This 443-nucleotide ribosomal RNA is filed under the name uncultured bacterium. Its description in RNAcentral is "partial 16S ribosomal RNA". It matches the Rfam family "Bacterial small subunit ribosomal RNA", at positions 338 to 795 of the family's 1533-position model. The record is from RNAcentral.